AUGUUGCCAUUGGUUGCCGAGCCGUUUGCAUAUUAAAACCUAUAAAUUAGCAACCACUUUGGGCUUAGGUUGAUUGUACCUUGGGCUUGGAGUGUUUUUCAAAAAAAAAAAAAUGAUUGUGGCUCUGCUUCAUACAUGUGUCCACUCUUGAAUACUUGAAUGGUGAGACAGAGAUGGAGACGGAGUAGAGCGUCCUGAAUCCGACUCAGCUUCUCUCUGAAAAAAGAAUUUGCGAUGAAUCGGAGCUCCGAGCCUCUGAUUGAAUGCUGAAAGAAUCGAUGUUUAACUUUGUCUCCGAAGAAGCGACGACGACCACCACGUACUACCCGCCGUAACGACCACCGACAACACCACCGGUAUCUAGACUGUCACCAGUGGUUCAAUCGGACGCCAAUUCAUGCAACAUAGUAGCUGUGGAUUUUGUUUCACAGGAGAACAUUCCGAACAUUCCAGAAUGCAUCCAACUCAUAGAGGAAUUCCGUGAGCUGCCAGUUAAUCACAAAGCCAAAGAAGACAAAGUAGAGCUAUGAUAAAACAUAACCGGUACUGACUCAUACUAACGAAAUAGUUGAAGCAUAAUAUAUCUAUCUCUGUGACCAACAUAACUAAUGGGAUAGGCAGCACUUUGAGAGGAUUUGCUAAGCAAUGCAUGGAGGAAUCUACUGUAAGCGUGCCUACUGGUGUUAGUCCAUAUGUCAUGCAAACUUUUUACUCUAUAUUUGAUACAAAGGUGAGUUUGAUUAAACAAGUUUCAAAAAUUUAGCUGGUUUUAAAAUUUAGAGCAGAAUACGUGUUGUGUUUACUUUCUUUUUGCAGCAAUGAAAGAUGUGCUAGGAAUGGUCUUUCUUAAAAAAAGUUAUGGUCCUCCUUAACAAAAACCAAGACGAGAUGACACUGAAGAAGCUGAAGAUGAUGUGUAAAGCCUUACUUCUAAGAUAAUGCUCAUAAAUUCACAUAUGUUACGAGGCAAUUUCUUAGGCUCUGUAUUGGACAAGGGAGACAAAGCUACUAAAAGGUUCACUUACUUCCUUGGGAAACCUAGCCGCUUGGUACGCUAUAAUGAAGCUGAAGCGCACAUCAACCGACACCUCACUCUGUUUGUGUGCACGAUGUAAGAAGUAAAGAAAGGUCGCCAAGAAUGAACUACAACCACUUUUGUAAGGUCAAGGCUUACAUAAAGCAGCUCAUCAUUUUUAACCACAAGUUCCACAACAGCUAGGAGAUGUGAAUAUAUGUUUGUUGCGUGUUAAUUUCUAAGCCCCCGGCCGCAUCGCGGCGGGUGCUUUCAUCUAGUUUAAAUAAAAUAAAACAGUUUUAUUAAAUAAUUACAAUACAGAAAUGAAAGAAAGCAAUAAAUUACAGAACUAUUACAACUGAAAUAAUAUUGAAAAAAACAAGAACAAAGAUGAG
This 1410-nucleotide long non-coding RNA is filed under the name Helianthus annuus (common sunflower). Lineage: Eukaryota; Viridiplantae; Streptophyta; Magnoliopsida; Asterales; Asteraceae. The record is from RNAcentral.